UGUCCCAUGGUGUAAUGGUAGCACAUCUGAUUUUGGUUCAGCCAGUCUAGGUUCGAAUCCUGGUGGGACAACCA
RNAcentral lists this transfer RNA (74 nucleotides) under Bacteroidia bacterium 44-10. Its description in RNAcentral is "tRNA-Gln". It matches the Rfam family "tRNA". Rfam says of the family: Transfer RNA (tRNA) molecules are approximately 80 nucleotides in length. Their secondary structure includes four short double-helical elements and three loops (D, anti-codon, and T loops). The record is from RNAcentral. Lineage: Bacteria; Pseudomonadati; Bacteroidota; Bacteroidia. RNAcentral also lists the same sequence under 1 other name.